This 497-nucleotide ribosomal RNA is filed under the name uncultured bacterium. RNAcentral describes it as "partial 16S ribosomal RNA". It matches the Rfam family "Bacterial small subunit ribosomal RNA", at positions 28 to 507 of the family's 1533-position model. The record is from RNAcentral.
GAUGAACGCUGGCGGCGUGCCUAAUACAUGCAAGUCGAGCGAACAGACGAGGAGCUUGCUCCUUUGACGUUAGCGGCGGACGGGUGAGUAACACGUGGAUAACCUACCUAUAAGACUGGGAUAACUUCGAGAAACCGGAGCUAAUACCGGAUAACAUGUUGAACCGCAUGGUUCAACAGUGAAAGACGGUCUUGCUGUCACUUAUAGAUGGAUCCGCGCCGCAUUAGCUAGUUGGUAAGGUAACGGCUUACCAAGGCAACGAUGCGUAGCCGACCUGAGAGGGUGAUCGGCCACACUGGAACUGAGACACGGUCCAGACUCCUACGGGAGGCAGCAGUAGGGAAUCUUCCGCAAUGGGCGAAAGCCUGACGGAGCAACGCCGCGUGAGUGAAGAAGGUCUUCGGAUCGUAAAACUCUGUUAUUAGGGAAGAACAAAUGUGUAAGUAACUAUGCACGUCUUGACGGUACCUAAUCAGAAAGCCACGGCUAACUACGUG